Aquila chrysaetos chrysaetos is the source of this 728-nucleotide long non-coding RNA. RefSeq lists it as uncharacterized. NCBI's taxonomy places the organism in Eukaryota, Metazoa, Chordata, Aves, Accipitriformes, Accipitridae. The transcript has 2 exons. The record is from RefSeq and is a predicted model, not a curated record.
AGCCCCCGGCGCCACGGGCCGGCCCGCGGCUCCUCGCUGCUCUCAGCUCCGGGGAGGCCUUUGUCUUUUCCCCGCUCCUCUCUGAGCGCUGCCGCCCCUGAGCUCAGGGCAGGGCCCCGCGAGGGCUCACCGUGACUCCACGUAGGGCCGGGGGCAGCAGCCUCGGCGUGGCAGCAGGGCCUGUCCGCCCCCGGGCUUCCCCCCCCCCCCCCCCCGGGGCGUUAGGAGCUGCUGCCGUCCGCAGGGGAUAGAGCCGGGCCUCAUCCAGCUGAGGCCUCGCAGGCGCCGUGCCCCUCCUGGCAGCCGGCGCCUCUUCCGACCGCUGAGGGGGCCGAGGGGUCUCUGGGGUGCGAUGGCGUCCGGGCUGGCCCUCACCCUCUCCUCAGCAGGACUGCUCCUGGAGCAUGCUGGAAGAUCCCCAUCUCCAGCACCCGCAUUGAUCCUGAUGGGACACUGCUGGGCAUUGAGGGGCUGGUGACCCACGCAAGUGCUGACCCGAGGGGCGUGGGCCGGGCUGUGCGUACCGCAGGGGAAGCUCCAUCUGUCAGACCUGCGCUGGGGUGCACGCACCUCCUGGCUACAGGAUGGGCUUCGCCAGCUAAUUGCACCAAAGCCUGUAGGCAGCUCCCACUCGGCACCUGGCGAUGACACCACUGGCCUGUCCUUGUCUUUAUCUUGAAGUGAAGGAGUGUGUUUUCAUUAAACAGCCUUUUGCUCAACUGCAGAAA